Molecule: long non-coding RNA, 391 nt
Filed under: Rattus norvegicus (Norway rat)
Lineage: Eukaryota; Metazoa; Chordata; Mammalia; Rodentia; Muridae
Description: long non-coding RNA NONRATT032829
Source: RNAcentral
AGGAGGGUAGCUACUUGACUCAGGUUGGGGCUUGUUGACCUUGGGCAUCUGACACAGACAGUGGCUCAGACUUGGGCCCUAUGCAUCCACGAUGUAAAGAGGCAAAGGAACUGUCCCAAAGAGGAAGGAAGCUCUGGGUCCUCUCUGGAGAGGAAACCAAGGCCAGAAAGGGAAAGGUUUCCUCGUCCCCGUACCAGCUCUCAGGGAACUCAGGUGUGAAGCCAGGGGCUCUAGGGCCUAUGUCUCUGGGAUCCCCACUGAAUUCUGGAGUUGGACUCCACCCACCAGAUGCCAGGCUGGCCCUGCUGCUGAACGCUCCCAGGCGCUAACAGGCUGACCAUCCUGGAGGACCACACACUUGGCUACGUAAAGGCUCCACUCACACCAAAGG